RNAcentral lists this transfer RNA (74 nucleotides) under Clostridiales bacterium. Its description in RNAcentral is "tRNA-Gly". It matches the Rfam family "tRNA". From Rfam's summary of the family: Transfer RNA (tRNA) molecules are approximately 80 nucleotides in length. Their secondary structure includes four short double-helical elements and three loops (D, anti-codon, and T loops). The record is from RNAcentral. Lineage: Bacteria; Bacillati; Bacillota; Clostridia; Eubacteriales. RNAcentral also lists the same sequence under 1 other name.
GCAGGCGUAGUUCAGUGGCAGAAUCUCAGCUUCCCAAGCUGAUUAUGCGGGUUCGAUUCCCGUCGCCUGCUCCA